This is a long non-coding RNA of Etheostoma spectabile (orangethroat darter), 117 nucleotides long. RefSeq lists it as uncharacterized. The transcript is spliced from 3 exons. The record is from RefSeq and is a predicted model, not a curated record. NCBI's taxonomy places the organism in Eukaryota, Metazoa, Chordata, Actinopteri, Perciformes, Percidae.
AUGUUGCGUGCUUAUUUGCUCCCUGACGCUGAUGAGAUUUACUACUUAAGUUUUGAAAUUUGGUAUUGAAUGACCAGGCAUUUUUCGUUACUCGAUACUAUGGAGGCAAUUUGGUCU